GUGAUCCUCCCGCCUCUGCCGCCCAAAUUCCUGGGAUUGCAGUAGUGAGCCACCGCGCCCGGCCUAUUUUUUUCAGUCUUAUCUUCUCUACCUCACCACCUCACAGUAAAGCAUAUAGGUUCGACAACAUCACCAAGGACCAAACAUUGUGGUAGAUGUACAUGCAAUGUACAUGCAGAGUACAGGUUGAUGCCUGAAUAAAGAGAUGCUGGGUGAGUGUCUGAACCUAGAUGACAUGGAGGAGUCCUGCAGAAAAUAUUUGCUAUUGAAUUCAAAGGUCUAUAGAGAGUUCUCAACUAAUGAAAAAUCAUUGCAUUAUCUUGAGAGCAAUAGCAAUGAUCAUGCCAACAGUAAUUCAGACUGUGUCAUAAGUUGGGUCACACAGUCCCUAUUUUCAAACUUUGUGGAUGUCUGUCAACUGGCAGUGAAUUGUAUUCAGGAGAAAAGAAGUCUAAAUUCUCAGGGCAGUGAACCUAAGCCAGGAGCUGCUUAGGCAUUAAGGCUUCUAUACCCAGAAUCGUGUGCUAAGCUUUCUCUCCAAGUCAGCACAACAAAGCAAACCAGAGCAUCGUACCAACAACCUGAAAGGUCACCUGACUCCUUCCUUCUCACUCCCAUUCUGUACUUCUGCAUACGUGGGCAGGCAAGUGAAUGGUUGAAGAGUGCUCUGGCUGUAGAGGGUCCCCACGAUCUGUCAUCUAGUAACUCACCAGAUACAUAAGAUAUUUUGCCUGCUAUGAAGCCAUUGGAGAAUCAGGUCCAGCUGUGUCCUACAGAUUUAUACCCUCACUUUGGAUGCACUGUGAAUCUUGAAACAAUUCAUUUUAUACUUAACCCUUUAAGUAUAAAGUAUAUACUUCAAGUAUAAAGUGUAAGGUUGCUUCAUUUCAUGGGCCCACCCAGGAUUUAAAGGUGUAUUCCCUGAAAGAAUUGGUUCCUUCCGGUGGGUUCCUGGCUGACUUCAAGAAUGAAGCUGCAGACACUUAUGGACUGGGAGGAGGCCCACGAGAAAAACAGGAAGAACAAGAGAAAGGCUGAGGCUCUAGUGGCUGCUUUGCAGACUUGCAGAGUCCAGGAUCCCCCAGGAACUUCCACUGAUUGCUACCUGUUACCAGUGUUAAAGCCAGGGCACUUUAAGAAGAAUUGCCCAAGCCACAAGAAAAAGCCACCUUGACCACUUUUGUGGUGAAGACCACUGGAGAUUGCACUACUGACCACCAAGACAGAGACACAAUAGCGAAUCUAGAAGUGGAAGUGUGAGAGAUACCUGCAGCUGUUAAGAUGUCUGGGAAUAGACACACAAACUCUCUCUCCCAGAUAAGCAACACAAAGCAGCACAGAGCAACAGAGACUGAAAGUCUGCCUACCUGAUCAGGGAAUAAGGUGAGAGUUGAUAAAGACUCUGCUCUAUACAGAAAGCAUACCUGGUUCCAACUAAAUCAUCAGGUUUUAUGAGGAUAAGACAUCCUCUCCUCACUAGUGCCCUCCUCAUUAGCCCAUUUACAAAAACCCUGAGAUUUUAGCACAGCUUGGCAACCUACUCAGGGCUCCUCUCUAUGCUGAAGAGCUGUUCUUUUUGUCUAUUAAACUCCUGCUCUAAACUCAUUCUAUGGGUGUGUGUAUCCACAGCCUUGAUCCACUUGGCUGUGAGACUAAGAUCCUUGGUAUUUACCACAGACAAUUAGGUUGUUUCAGAAAUUUCCUGUUUAAAAAAAAAAAAGACAUAGAUCUAAAAUUACCAAGUACCAGAGAAGAUAGAAAAUCAUGUGUUUUUGGAUUGUUUUGUUUCUGUUUGUUUUCUCAUUGUGCUUAAAAUGUCUGAGUUUGACUUUGUAUGCAUAUAAUACUUUUACUAGGGGAAUUACUGUAAAAUAUUUGUAUAUGGAUGGCUCUUAACCCUAUAUCAUUGGCACAUGUAAGAGCAUGGAAGAAUAAGACUCAAACAAGAAAGGAUUGACCAUUUAAUGGCAUGGUAAGUACACUGCCACAUCCAGCUUGAGAGACAACUCACAUAGACACAAAAACAAAAACUAGUCAACAUUAUGUUUCUGCUCCUCUAGACUUCAGAACUGUAAGAUAGUUACCCAUUUUAAAGUCACUUAUUAGGCAAUAAACGAGAGAAGAAAAGCAGAAAA
Molecule: long non-coding RNA, 2135 nt
Organism: Homo sapiens (human)
Lineage: Eukaryota; Metazoa; Chordata; Mammalia; Primates; Hominidae
Gene: TTTY10
Product: testis expressed transcript, Y-linked 10
Source: Ensembl